This 492-nucleotide ribosomal RNA is filed under the name uncultured bacterium. Its description in RNAcentral is "partial 16S ribosomal RNA". It matches the Rfam family "Bacterial small subunit ribosomal RNA", at positions 29 to 507 of the family's 1533-position model. The record is from RNAcentral.
AGUGAACGCUGGCGGUAGGCCUAACACAUGCAAGUCGAACGGCAGCACAGUAAGAGCUUGCUCUUACGGGUGGCGAGUGGCGGACGGGUGAGGAAUACAUCGGAAUCUACUUUUUCGUGGGGGAUAACGUAGGGAAACUUACGCUAAUACCGCAUACGACCUACGGGUGAAAGCAGGGGAUCUUCGGACCUUGCGCGAUUGAAUGAGCCGAUGUCGGAUUAGCUAGUUGGCGGGGUAAAGGCCCACCAAGUCGACGAUCCGUAGCUGGUCUGAGAGGAUGAUCAGCCACACUGGAACUGAGACACGGUCCAGACUCCUACGGGAGGCAGCAGUGGGGAAUAUUGGGCAAUGGGCGCAAGCCUUAUCCAGCCAUACCGCGUGGGUGAAGAAGGCCUUCGGGUUGUAAAGCCCUUUUGUUGGGAAAGAACAGCAGCAGGUUAAUACCCCGCUGUUCUGACGGUACCCAAAGAAUAAGCACCGGCUAACUUCGUG